RNAcentral lists this ribosomal RNA (502 nucleotides) under uncultured bacterium. Its description in RNAcentral is "partial 16S ribosomal RNA". It matches the Rfam family "Bacterial small subunit ribosomal RNA", at positions 28 to 507 of the family's 1533-position model. The record is from RNAcentral.
GAUUAACGCUGGCGGCGUGCCUAACACAUGCAAGUCGAGCGGCAGCGAGUUUUACACUGAAUUCUGGAAGCUUCUAGUUGCAAGAGAAGAUUUAUUCAAGAAUUUUGUGUAAAAUGUCGGCGAGCGGCGGACGGCUGAGUAACGCGUGGGAACGUACCCCAAAGUGAGGGAUAACGCAUCGAAAGGUGUGCUAAUACCGCAUAUGGUCUUCGGAUUAAAGCCUUCGGGCGCUUUGGGAACGGCCUGCGUAAGAUUAGAUAGUUGGUGUGGUAAUGGCCUACCAAGUCGACGAUCUCUAACCUGUAUGAGAGGAUGAGCAGUCAGACUGGAACUGAGACGCGGUACAGAAUCCUACGGGAUGCAGCAGUGAGGAAUCGUCCACAAUGGGCGAAAGCAUGAUGGAGCAACGCCGCGUGCAGGAUGAAGGCCUUCGGGUUGUAAACUGCUUUUAUAAGUGAGGAUUAUGACAGUAACUUAUGAAUAAGGAUCGGCUAACUACGUG